This 66-nucleotide transfer RNA is filed under the name Onykia robusta (robust clubhook squid). RNAcentral describes it as "tRNA-Asp". The record is from RNAcentral. Lineage: Eukaryota; Metazoa; Mollusca; Cephalopoda; Oegopsida; Onychoteuthidae.
GAAAAGUUAGUUAAUUUAUAACAUAAAAUUGUCAAUUUUAAAUUACUAAUUCUUUAGUACCUUUCA